This 301-nucleotide ribosomal RNA is filed under the name uncultured bacterium. RNAcentral's name for it is "partial 16S ribosomal RNA". It matches the Rfam family "Bacterial small subunit ribosomal RNA", at positions 509 to 807 of the family's 1533-position model. The record is from RNAcentral.
CAGCAGCCACGGUAAUACGGAGGGCGCGAGCGUUACCCGGAUUUACUGGGCGUAAAGGGCGUGUAGGCGGCCUGGGGCGUCCCAUGUGAAAGGCCACGGCUCAACCGUGGAGGAGCGUGGGAUACGCUCAGGCUAGAGGGUGGGAGAGGGUGGUGGAAUUCCCGGAGUAGCGGUGAAAUGCGCAGAUACCGGGAGGAACGCCGAUGGCGAAGGCAGCCACCUGGUCCACUUCUGACGCUGAGGCGCGAAAGCGUGGGGAGCAAACCGGAUUAGAUACCCCCGUAGUCCCUGUCUCUUAUAC